AUCCACACGACUCUCGGCAACGGAUAUCUCGGCUCUCGCAUCGAUGAAGAACGUAGCGAAAUGCGAUACCUGGUGUGAAUUGCAGAAUCCCGCGAACCAUCGAGUCUUUGAACGCAAGUUGCGCCCGAUGCCUCUUGGCUGAAGGCACGCCUGCCUGGGCGUC
This 163-nucleotide ribosomal RNA is filed under the name Castellia tuberculosa. RNAcentral's name for it is "5.8S ribosomal RNA". It matches the Rfam family "5.8S ribosomal RNA". Rfam says of the family: 5.8S ribosomal RNA (5.8S rRNA) is a component of the large subunit of the eukaryotic ribosome. It is transcribed by RNA polymerase I as part of the 45S precursor that also contains 18S and 28S rRNA. Functionally, it is thought that 5.8S rRNA may be involved in ribosome translocation. The record is from RNAcentral. Lineage: Eukaryota; Viridiplantae; Streptophyta; Magnoliopsida; Poales; Poaceae.